RNAcentral lists this transfer RNA (76 nucleotides) under Pseudomonas aeruginosa. RNAcentral's name for it is "tRNA-Ala". It matches the Rfam family "tRNA". From Rfam's summary of the family: Transfer RNA (tRNA) molecules are approximately 80 nucleotides in length. Their secondary structure includes four short double-helical elements and three loops (D, anti-codon, and T loops). Further hydrogen bonds mediate the characteristic L-shaped molecular structure. tRNAs have two regions of fundamental functional importance: the anti-codon, which is responsible for specific mRNA codon recognition, and the 3' end, to which the tRNAs corresponding amino acid is attached (by aminoacyl-tRNA synthetases). tRNAs cope with the degeneracy of the genetic code in two manners: having more than one tRNA (with a specific anti-codon) for a particular amino acid; and 'wobble' base-pairing, i.e. permitting non-standard base-pairing at the 3rd anti-codon position. The record is from RNAcentral. Lineage: Bacteria; Pseudomonadati; Pseudomonadota; Gammaproteobacteria; Pseudomonadales; Pseudomonadaceae.
GGGGCCAUAGCUCAGCUGGGAGAGCGUCUGCUUUGCACGCAGGAGGUCAGGAGUUCGAUCCUCCUUGGCUCCACCA